GUAACUUCAGCACUUUAGAUUACUGUAGUGUCAAUGAUGGUGCUGUUAGUUCAAUGUAAUCUCUGUCCAGGUUAGCUCAAGGUCUAGGCCUGUCCUGAGCCAAGCUGAAGAUGUGAAUGGAUAAUCUCUCUGGCACCACUAUGAUGGGUUAGGGCAGAAGAGUCCUACUCGUAUGGAUUAGUCUGAGCCUGUUUGUGAGUUUCCAUACAGUCGCAGGGUACAGAGAGC
Molecule: long non-coding RNA, 228 nt
Filed under: Oncorhynchus kisutch (coho salmon)
Lineage: Eukaryota; Metazoa; Chordata; Actinopteri; Salmoniformes; Salmonidae
Description: lncRNA (ENSOKIG00005024943.1)
Source: RNAcentral